This 1137-nucleotide long non-coding RNA is filed under the name Numida meleagris (helmeted guineafowl). RNAcentral's name for it is "lncRNA (ENSNMEG00000016287.1)". The record is from RNAcentral. Lineage: Eukaryota; Metazoa; Chordata; Aves; Galliformes; Numididae.
UUCGGAGCCCAGGAAUCUACCUGAAGUAGACCUAGAGGCUGAUGGCACAGGUGGGUAAUGCCACAGCUGUGGGUAAUCCCCACAGUAGUUGGUAUAAAUAAGUUGAGAUGAGGUGGGGAGUAAUGUCAAAGGUUUUGUCAGCUUCUUACAACCUUAUGCUGGGAUGUUUAGCCUAUGUCCAAUGCUUGUAGAAGUACUAAGGUGGAAAUGCUCCAUGCACCAGAUCCAAGAGUACAGUGAAGGGAGUGUUAUCAUACUCUUCUUCUGGACCACAUCUAAAACUAGAGCCCCGCAGUACCUCCCUUCUUGAAACUCAGCACCAGUGGGUGAAUUCACAGCCUUUCAUCAACAACAGUCCAGAAGGAACAGAGACACACAGCAACCUGAAGAACAAAACAUGCCACCGGUAUUUAUUAACAUAGCCUUGUAAAUCAAAACAGCCUUCCUGUCUGGUGUCUUGUCUAGAAAUUAUUGGCUCAUUCAUCUUAACCAUAUUAAGCAGACCACAUUUAUCAAGUUCACGUAAAAAGAGACAUAUAAGGACUAUGCCUGGCCAAUAGUUACAUGCAGGUAUCAUGCUUAGGGUAUGCCCAUUUUUGCAGGUAUGUAACAGUUUGUUGCCAUUACCAGGAGCAAGCUUUCUGGAGGGAGAAAGAGGUGCUCGCCUUUUUGGCUCAGGUAUAUAUGCAGGGACAUGAAAAGAGAUGAAACUCAGAGAAACUUCAAAACUUGGGUCAAAAUAAUGGCACAGGCUGAACAUGAUGAGUUCAAGGAUAUUAGUCUGUGUGAAUAAUCCAGUAAAGAUCUCAAGCAACCGAAUCAAAUAAUAGCAAUUUUCUCUCUAUUUUCCAAGCAUGCCCUCAUGAUACAGAAUCAUAGAACUGCUUAAGUUAGAAGGUGCCUUUAAAGGCCAUCUGGUCCAACUCCCCUGCAGUGAAGAGGGACACCUACAGCUUGAUCAGGUGCCUGGAACCCCAUUCAGCCUGACUUUGAGUAUUUCGAGGGACAGGGCAUCUACCUCUUCUCUGGGCAACCUGAGGCAGUGCCUCACAUAUACAAGGGAAUUGAGAAUUAUAUACAUUUGUCAGAGAAAACUGGAAUAAGCUUUACUUGCUGGCCCUCACUCUUUGUUAGGGU